Molecule: ribosomal RNA, 454 nt
Filed under: uncultured Paludibacter sp.
Lineage: Bacteria; Pseudomonadati; Bacteroidota; Bacteroidia; Bacteroidales; Paludibacteraceae
Description: bacterial SSU rRNA
Rfam family: Bacterial small subunit ribosomal RNA
Source: RNAcentral
ACGGAAGGCAGCAGUGAGGAAUAUUGGUCAAUGGGCGAGAGCCUGAACCAGCCGAGUCGCGUGAGGGAAGACGGCCCUAUGGGUUGUAAACCUCUUUUAUGCGGGAAUAAAGUGCUCCAUGCGUGGGGUUUUGCAUGUACCGCAGGAAUAAGGAUCGGCUAACUCCGUGCCAGCAGCCGCGGUAAUACGGAGGAUCCGAGUGUUAUCCGGAUUUAUUGGGUUUAAAGGGUGCGUAGGCGGGGGAUCAAGUCAGUGGUGAAAUGGUGCGGCUCAACCGUAGCAUUGCCGUUGAAACUGGUCUUCUUGAGUGCGAAUGAGGUGGGCGGAAUGUGUCAUGUAGCGGUGAAAUGCAUAGAUAUGACACAGAACACCGAUUGCGAAGGCAGCCCACUGGGACGCGACUGACGCUGAGGCACGAAAGUGCGGGGAUCGAACAGGAUUAGAUACCCUGGUA